Long non-coding RNA from Papaver somniferum (opium poppy), 2225 nucleotides. RefSeq lists it as uncharacterized. The transcript is spliced from 5 exons. Lineage: Eukaryota; Viridiplantae; Streptophyta; Magnoliopsida; Ranunculales; Papaveraceae. The record is from RefSeq and is a predicted model, not a curated record.
AACAAAUCCUGCCGAAGGUGUAUAUGUUCGUCUUUCUGAAGAAUAGAUAUGAGAAGAUAGAUUAAUUCUAGGCUUUGUUCUUUUAAUCCUUAUUGAGAAACCUAGCCCUAAUCUUUUUAUCCUCUUUUCUCUUUAACCUUGCGUCGAUCUCAAACUCUGUAAAGAAGUAGUUGUUUCGAGAAGGAUUAAUCCAUAGCUGGUUCUAAUGGGGAUUGUCGAAUCCAGAAUCUGAUGUAUCUGAUCGUAAUAGUGUUGAGAAAUCUGUUUACUUCUUCAUCGAAAUUUCAGAUGAAACUGAAGAGGGAAUCAGAGCGGAAAUGGAUAUGGGUUUGUCGAGAUAAGGGUUAUUGAGAACUGAGAUUGAUGAUUAAGUCAAAAUAAUUGAAAAUUUUCAGAAUCUAGGGUUUGGUUUUGGGAAGAGCAGCUGAGGCUGUGUCUGAAUCGGUAAGAAUGAGAAUGGGUUAAUUGAAGAUGGGGGUUUGAGAGUUCUUGGAUGAUGAUAAGAGUUGGGUUGAGCUCGAUUUGCAACCAGAUGAAGAAAUCAAUUGAGGAAAAAUAUUUCAGGCAGAGUUGGCCAAUUAGUAAAACAUUGUUGGAUGCAAGCCUAUGGAGUAAAUUUAACGAAAUGGCGAUGGGGUUAUUGUUUAUGAUACGUUAAGGGGGUGAUUUAAGAGACGAAGUCGAAUAAGAAAGGAGAUGAAGAGGAUUACCAGAAAAAGGUUGAAUUUCCUCUACCACUCUGGAUUCUCUCCUCUGAACCUCAUACGAACCUAGAUGAUAAUUCCAAUGGAACUUCUUAAUCGAAACCCUCGAAUUCGAAUUCAAGAGCAUACUAACCGCUCAAAACAUACGGAAGGGGAGGUUACUGCCAUUGGAUUGGCAGCGAGAGAAAGUAAGCUAUAAAAGAGAAAAUAAGUCGGUGAAGAAACCCCUUAACCUUAUUCUCUCUUUUAUUCUAAUCUAGGGUAAAUUCUCAGGGGUAGUAAAGAAAGAAUCAGGUCAUUAGUAGAGGGCAGUAAAGAAAACCAUUAAUCAAAAAGGGAAAAUAAACUUGCUGCUACAUUAAUGUCUAGAAAGUAGAUUUACAUUGUCUAGAAAGAAACGGUUGAUUAAUUAAUUAUUAGGUGUGUAAGUUUUGCAAAAGGUACCUCAAGGAGCUUAUCAGGUUAUGAGUGAUCCAACAGAAAGAGAAGCUUAGGAUGGGAAUGUGAAGUAUUGUAUGUCUACGUACCUUAAGAGAAUUUCCAUCUGUAUAUAAUUUAAAAUAUGAGUGGUGUUUCUGUCUUACUGUUGUGCAUAUAUCCACCAUUUAUAAAAAUAUGCAUGUCCCAGUAUUUGGACUGCGAUGGAAAAGCGUUGAAACAGGUGUCAUUUUAUUAUAUUUGGAUGACAGAGUUUUAUCUCAAUGCUUCUCGUAUUCUUCCCUUUAACAGUAAUCAAUGUUCCAUCAUUUUCGCCUCCAGUUUAUCUUGUGUCCAAGAACAAAUUGAUCAUUUGUAUCAAACAUAGGUAUCGAGACCGACCCUCACCUUUUAUGUACAUCUCUUUUGAUUCGUUGAUUUGGUGCUGAAUGCUAAGAUUGAACGUGAUAGUAGAUAGACAACCUGCUUGGCCCAUUGUCUCAGGAACAAUCUAGAUAAAGCAAUCGAAAUCUUGAUGUUACCUUUUUAUGUAUACCCUUAUUUUAUUGGAGGACUAGGGCUUAACCCGUGCCGUAACGGCACGGGCAUAAAUUAUCUUACUGGUGAUUAUAUUUUUCUGGUGUUAAUUUUUUGUUGUCACGUUUCUUAGUACUCUUUUUUGAAAUUUUGUGAUCCCUUGUGUGUAUUUAUCAUCCGGUUUUUUCUUAAGCUUUAAUUAAGGUUCUGGAAGUAUAAAGAUGAAUAAUAUAUAGCUGAAAAUUUCUUGCAUAAAAAAAUAGAAAGAAGAAAAGUUUGUCCUUUGUUUCGUAUGCCCAUUACAUUAGAAAUUUAGAACCAAAAAAAUAAAAAAAUAAAAAAUUAAUCAAACAUGUAGGCGUCUAAACGUUCAUCCCAUCCCGUUCCAACGCAGAAAGUUCGGUAGGGAAUAAGCUUUCCCUACGGUAGUGUGAUUUGACGGUAUGAUUAGUUGGCAGGACCUGUGACAAGUAUAGUACUAUAAAUGGCAUUGAUCAGUUUUCCUCCGUGUCUAUAACCAAGUAGAAGACAACCGAAUCAAUAUUUGGAUAAGUUUUGUACUUUUCU